GCCGGGGUGGCAGAGCGGACUAAUGCGGCGGGCUCGAGACCCGUUGCUCUCUUCGAGAGCGCUUGGGUUCGAAUCCCAACCCCGGCG
This 87-nucleotide transfer RNA is filed under the name Methanosarcinales archaeon. Its description in RNAcentral is "tRNA-Ser". It matches the Rfam family "tRNA". From Rfam's summary of the family: Transfer RNA (tRNA) molecules are approximately 80 nucleotides in length. Their secondary structure includes four short double-helical elements and three loops (D, anti-codon, and T loops). The record is from RNAcentral. Lineage: Archaea; Methanobacteriati; Methanobacteriota; Methanomicrobia; Methanosarcinales.